Unclassified non-coding RNA from Vulpes vulpes (red fox), 133 nucleotides. The record is from Ensembl. NCBI's taxonomy places the organism in Eukaryota, Metazoa, Chordata, Mammalia, Carnivora, Canidae.
AAUCCUGUCAUACCUCGGAUUUUGGUGCCUUCAGUCUGAAAAAUACACACAUCCAUUUGGUACCCUAGAGGAACUGGAGAAUUGUCUUCCCCUGAAUGAAGCUGGACCAUUCUGGGAUUUGGAGAAAGGUAAG